Molecule: transfer RNA, 71 nt
Filed under: Bokermannohyla itapoty
Lineage: Eukaryota; Metazoa; Chordata; Amphibia; Anura; Hylidae
Description: tRNA-Ile
Rfam family: tRNA
About the family: Transfer RNA (tRNA) molecules are approximately 80 nucleotides in length.
Source: RNAcentral
GGAAGCAUGCCUGAAAGUUAAGGACCUCCUUGAUAGGGAGAAAAAUAGGCGUUCGAAUCCCCUUACUUCCU